UACAUAUCCAUUGAUUCUCGUUUUUAAUUUAUUUUUCCAAAUAUCAAUAUAGAAAGAAAUUAUUCCCAAGGGAAUAUUAUCUCGAAAUAAUUUCUUAAGGACAACUCGAUUGUUUAUAUAUAAAUAUAUAAACGAACAUCGAGAAAAAUUCAGUUCUAACGUGUGGCGAUCUAUUUAUAGUUUCAUCAAAUUAUCGAUAAAUUUAAGAUCAUGCGAGACGUACUACAGUACUACGUAGUACUGUGAAACAAAUACGUAUUUGCUUAAUUCAUUUAAAACAAUAGAAAUGUUUUUUUUCGAUUGUUAAUCUUUCGAUGGAUCAAAAGAUCAACGACCGACAAAUGAAAUCUUUAAACUCGAGUAUUUCGUUAGAGGUAUAAAACGAGAAUGAGAGAGAAAGAGAGAGGAGGGUGGAGAGAAGAGGAAACAAAAGAUAUUCUUUAAGGACGAGUAAGAAUAUUUUAACUUUGACUAAUCUCGUUGUAUAAAAAACGAUUAAAAUUGGUACCCACGAUCAAAUGAUUAUUUUUAUUUUACACGUUAGAUUGCAUUCAAAAAUAAUGUUAUCUUUUUUAUUUAUUUAUUUUUUAUUUUUAAUUUUUUAUUUCUAUAAAAAUAACAUUAUAGAAUUAAAUCUCGUUGUUGAAUAAGUUUUAAUACUAUAAAAAAAAAAAAAAAAAAAAAAUGGUCGGAUCUGUGACACAAAAUGGCAUUUGUGUGACACGAAUGUCUAUUGUAUUCAUUGUUUAUACAUUUUUGUUCUCUUUUCGUUGCAUAAUCAUAAAAAAAUGAACAAAAAUAUAAAAAGAAAAGGAAAAAAUAACAAAAAAAGA
Molecule: long non-coding RNA, 833 nt
Organism: Vespa mandarinia (Asian giant hornet)
Lineage: Eukaryota; Metazoa; Arthropoda; Insecta; Hymenoptera; Vespidae
Source: RefSeq, a predicted model, not a curated record